Molecule: long non-coding RNA, 219 nt
Filed under: Gossypium barbadense (sea-island cotton)
Lineage: Eukaryota; Viridiplantae; Streptophyta; Magnoliopsida; Malvales; Malvaceae
Description: long non-coding RNA (GBAR_LNC006542)
Source: RNAcentral
GGAGGUGAGCGAUAUUGACAUGGUCUCCCAAUGACAUUACAAUAAGAAUAGUAAUAAACUGAGCUUGGGGAGGAAUAAAGAAGUUGAGGAAAAAGACUUCUCUAGUUUUUGAAGCAAAACGUUACCUUUGUUCUGGAUUGACUAGAAACGGAGAUGUAUAGUUCUCUGUGAUAAAACAACUCCUAAGGGAAGAAAGAGGUAACUAUUAACGUGCCUAGC